RNAcentral lists this long non-coding RNA (475 nucleotides) under Zea mays. RNAcentral describes it as "long non-coding RNA (ZMAY_LNC002531)". Lineage: Eukaryota; Viridiplantae; Streptophyta; Magnoliopsida; Poales; Poaceae. The record is from RNAcentral.
GACGCUUGAGUAACAUCCGGAGAUAAUGAAUAAGCAAUAAACUUCUGUUUUUUGCAACAUGAUUACGAAAAAGAGAGGCAAUAUCUCCCUGUUUCUUCAUAUUUUAGUCACUACAAAAAUGAUGGUAGUAAAUCAACAAUCAAUAAGACAAAAAUCCUAAAUCCUAAACCAGCAGGCAGCAACUCGUACCAAUCACCAGCAGUAGGCAGCAAUUCGCCAGACGCCAGGGAGAUCCAGCGCAGUAGCAGGCAGCAGGCGGUCUGGGCAUUCAGCCGCGCAGCGACGGCAGCUGGCAGCGCGCAUUCGCCACUCCACUACUCCGGCCAGUAGCGCCAGGAAGCCAGCCAGCCGCCAGGAACUCUUCUCGCAGUCGCCAGGUAUCCAGCCGCCAGGGCGCCAGGAAGGCAGGAACAGGCACAGGCGAACAGCCGUAAGGAUCGAAGAGCUGGAGAAGUUGAAAUGGCCUUCGGGCUUC